UCAUAUCAUCACCAUGGACCUACAUGC
RNAcentral lists this non-coding RNA (27 nucleotides) under Homo sapiens (human). The record is from RNAcentral. Lineage: Eukaryota; Metazoa; Chordata; Mammalia; Primates; Hominidae.